CGCUUGGUAGCUUAACUGGAAAAGCAAUAGCCCUCAGGCUGGAGUUGGUGGUUCGAGUCCACCCCUAGACGG
Molecule: transfer RNA, 72 nt
Filed under: Caudoviricetes sp.
Lineage: Duplodnaviria; Heunggongvirae; Uroviricota; Caudoviricetes
Description: tRNA-OTHER
Rfam family: tRNA
About the family: Transfer RNA (tRNA) molecules are approximately 80 nucleotides in length. Their secondary structure includes four short double-helical elements and three loops (D, anti-codon, and T loops).
Source: RNAcentral